AUGACGGGGAAGGCCAGCAUGCCCAGCAGGUACAGCGCCAUGCUCAGCAGGAUGGUGCCGAACUUGCCCAGCAGCGCGUCCGCCAGCCAGCCCCCGAACGGCGACACCAGAUGCUGCAGCAGGGAAAUGGAGUUUUACCGAAGCACACAACAGCUCGGGUCGGAAGGGACAUCGGGACAUCAUCCGGUCCUACCCUACUGCCAGGGCCGGGGCACCUGGAGCAGGUGGCACAGGAACGUGUCCAGGUGGGUUUUGAAGGUCUCCAGAGAGGGAGACUCCACGACGUCCCUUGGGCAGCUGUUCCAGCGCUCUGCCACCUCCAUGGAAAGAAGUUCUUCCUCACGUUGAGUGAAACUUCUUGAGUUUUAGUUCAUGGCCAUUGCCCCUCGUCCUGUCGCUGGACACCACUGAAGAAUCUGGCACCAUCCGCUUGCCACCCACCUUUGAGACAUUUCUGUGCAUUAAUGAGAUCCCUUCUCAGUCUUCUCUAGACCAAACAGGCCCAGCUUCCACAGUCUCUCUUCAUUACAGAGGUGCUCCAGACCCCUCACCAUCUUUGGGGCCUCCACUGGACCCUCUCCAGCAGCUCCUUGUCUUCCUCGUACUGAGGAGCCCAGAACUGGACACAGCCCUCCAGACGUGCCUCAGCAGGGCCAAGCAGAGAGGGUGUGAUUUUUAUAGCUAUUUAAUGUAUUAGUUCAGGAUUGACCAGCAGGGAGGCCUUUCUGCAGCAAAAUGUGAUAAAUGUGCGUUGUGACUUAUUUGUCUGUGUUCUGCAGCCCCUGUUGAAGGCGUGGGCACGGCUCAGUGCCCGGGGUGUGCCCAGGGACUCACCACGGAUGGGGAGCAGCAGCUGGUCCCUGAGCUGUGUUUGGGGUGUGAAGGCAGGAUUACUUGAGCAGUGCCUGCAGGAAUUAUAUAAGUACACACAGAGAAUGAACACUCUGACCUGAAUGGAAUGAAGUGUGUGAUUAAAAUGAGAAAACAAAUUAGUGGUUGCAAGAUCAGAACCCUAAGAGGUGCUGUAGUUCCACCAUCACGUGUGUUGAGGUAAACAUCAUGAAAGUAUGAAGUUGUCUUGAGCAGCAGAUCUUAAAGUCAUAUUUUUGGCCAAAACAAAGUGGAGAGGAUACUCCUGGUUGUGUGUUUUCAGUUAAAAAGGUAAAUUGAUUGACAUCAUUUAGUUACACCAAACAUCUGGGUAUGACUUAAAAUUUUUGGAGCAGCGUUGGUAAUUGAGCAAGCGAUGCUUGUAAAAGUAAAUAUAUUCAUUUAAUAAUGGGCCUUUGUAAAUAACAUGUGCCAUAAAAACGACUCAUUAAAUAUAUUUGCUCUCUUAACUAGUUAGCAAAUUUUACGACAAAGGACAAUGAGGAAAAGGCAACCAGCUGUACAGAGAUCUCUUUGUGAACUCCUGUAAUGUGACUGAUUCUGUAAUUUAAAAAAAUACAUUUCAGCUUUUCCCAGCUGAAUACAGUGUGUCAUAUCAGUUGUGAUUACAUAUUUUUGAGGAGUUUAGCAGUAUUUGCUUGAGACACAAAGUAAUUAAGCACACUUUGUGUUAUUAUGUUUUAAUAUAGGCAGAUAUUACAUUCUAGGCCCUUCAUAAUUUACUUUGGUGAGUGAGGUGAGAUUUUUAUACUGACCUAUCCAACACCUCACAAUGCUGAACAGUAUUUGAAAUGUACAUUACAAAAUGUUAUUUAAAUCUUCAGGUAUCAAAACAAAGGUACUCUCACUAAAAUUCAGAAGUUACUGUUAGAACUCAGACAUUCUCUCUGGCAGCUCAGGAAGGUGGUUUUAAUUUUCCUCCAAACAACACUCAGCUACAGUAUGUUUAAAACUUGAUUGUGAUCCAUCCUUGAUCCUUUCUUUAAAUACAGUGAAUGCACCCAUGUUUUCAGAGACACAACACUAAAUGCUGCAAAGACUUCUAGAUUGUUAUUUUUUUCAGUCAAGACAUAUAUAGCAUAAAACCCAGAGUUAUCAUAAAUAGUAAUAAAAUGUUAAGAUCUCUUU
Molecule: long non-coding RNA, 2019 nt
Organism: Neopelma chrysocephalum (saffron-crested tyrant-manakin)
Lineage: Eukaryota; Metazoa; Chordata; Aves; Passeriformes; Pipridae
Exons: 2
Source: RefSeq, a predicted model, not a curated record